UACAGAGGUGGCAAGCGUUGUUCGGAAUUACUGGGCGUAAAGGGCGCGUAGGCGGUUCGUUAAGUCCUGUGUGAAAUCCCCCGGCUCAACUGGGGAACUGCACAGGAAACUAGCGGGCUUGAGUUCGGGAGAGGGAAGCGGAAUUCCGGGUGUAGCGGUGAAAUGCGUAGAUAUCCGGAGGAACACCGGUGGCGAAGGCGGCUUCCUGGACCGAUAUUGACGCUGAGGAGCGAAAGCCAGGGGAGCAAACGGG
Molecule: ribosomal RNA, 253 nt
Filed under: uncultured bacterium
Lineage: Bacteria
Description: partial 16S ribosomal RNA
Rfam family: Bacterial small subunit ribosomal RNA
Source: RNAcentral